CUUCAGUGAUGAGACGAUGACGAGUCAGACAGGACAAGCAAUGUAGUGUUUCCUGCACGGGGGCACGUUCUGUGUCGCUGGGCUUGGCUGCACUGCAUGAGAUUUGUCCUUCUUACUGAUCGAUAUUGAGGCAUUUGUCUGAGAAGG
Molecule: small nucleolar RNA, 147 nt
Organism: Xenopus tropicalis (tropical clawed frog)
Lineage: Eukaryota; Metazoa; Chordata; Amphibia; Anura; Pipidae
Source: Ensembl